RNAcentral lists this ribosomal RNA (2789 nucleotides) under Pseudomonas aeruginosa. Its description in RNAcentral is "partial 23S ribosomal RNA". It matches the Rfam family "Bacterial large subunit ribosomal RNA". Lineage: Bacteria; Pseudomonadati; Pseudomonadota; Gammaproteobacteria; Pseudomonadales; Pseudomonadaceae. The record is from RNAcentral.
GGUCAAGUGAAGAAGCGCAUACGGUGGAUGCCUUGGCAGUCAGAGGCGAUGAAAGACGUGGUAGCCUGCGAAAAGCUUCGGGGAGUCGGCAAACAGACUUUGAUCCGGAGAUCUCUGAAUGGGGGAACCCACCUAGGAUAACCUAGGUAUCUUGUACUGAAUCCAUAGGUGCAAGAGGCGAACCAGGGGAACUGAAACAUCUAAGUACCCUGAGGAAAAGAAAUCAACCGAGAUUCCCUUAGUAGUGGCGAGCGAACGGGGAUUAGCCCUUAAGCUUCAUUGAUUUUAGCGGAACGCUCUGGAAAGUGCGGCCAUAGUGGGUGAUAGCCCCGUACGCGAAAGGAUCUUUGAAGUGAAAUCGAGUAGGACGGAGCACGAGAAACUUUGUCUGAACAUGGGGGGACCAUCCUCCAAGGCUAAAUACUACUGACUGACCGAUAGUGAACCAGUACCGUGAGGGAAAGGCGAAAAGAACCCCGGAGAGGGGAGUGAAAUAGAACCUGAAACCGUAUGCGUACAAGCAGUGGGAGCCUACUUGUUAGGUGACUGCGUACCUUUUGUAUAAUGGGUCAGCGACUUAUAUUCAGUGGCAAGCUUAACCGUAUAGGGUAGGCGUAGCGAAAGCGAGUCUUAAUAGGGCGUUUAGUCGCUGGGUAUAGACCCGAAACCGGGCGAUCUAUCCAUGAGCAGGUUGAAGGUUAGGUAACACUGACUGGAGGACCGAACCCACUCCCGUUGAAAAGGUAGGGGAUGACUUGUGGAUCGGAGUGAAAGGCUAAUCAAGCUCGGAGAUAGCUGGUUCUCCUCGAAAGCUAUUUAGGUAGCGCCUCAUGUAUCACUCUGGGGGGUAGAGCACUGUUUCGGCUAGGGGGUCAUCCCGACUUACCAAACCGAUGCAAACUCCGAAUACCCAGAAGUGCCGAGCAUGGGAGACACACGGCGGGUGCUAACGUCCGUCGUGAAAAGGGAAACAACCCAGACCGCCAGCUAAGGUCCCAAAGUUGUGGUUAAGUGGUAAACGAUGUGGGAAGGCUUAGACAGCUAGGAGGUUGGCUUAGAAGCAGCCAUCCUUUAAAGAAAGCGUAAUAGCUCACUAGUCGAGUCGGCCUGCGCGGAAGAUGUAACGGGGCUCAAACCACACACCGAAGCUGCGGGUGUCACGUAAGUGACGCGGUAGAGGAGCGUUCUGUAAGCCUGUGAAGGUGAGUUGAGAAGCUUGCUGGAGGUAUCAGAAGUGCGAAUGCUGACAUGAGUAACGACAAUGGGUGUGAAAAACACCCACGCCGAAAGACCAAGGGUUCCUGCGCAACGUUAAUCGACGCAGGGUUAGUCGGUUCCUAAGGCGAGGCUGAAAAGCGUAGUCGAUGGGAAACAGGUUAAUAUUCCUGUACUUCUGGUUACUGCGAUGGAGGGACGGAGAAGGCUAGGCCAGCUUGGCGUUGGUUGUCCAAGUUUAAGGUGGUAGGCUGAAAUCUUAGGUAAAUCCGGGGUUUCAAGGCCGAGAGCUGAUGACGAGUCGUCUUUUAGAUGACGAAGUGGUUGAUGCCAUGCUUCCAAGAAAAGCUUCUAAGCUUCAGGUAACCAGGAACCGUACCCCAAACCGACACAGGUGGUCGGGUAGAGAAUACCAAGGCGCUUGAGAGAACUCGGGUGAAGGAACUAGGCAAAAUGGCACCGUAACUUCGGGAGAAGGUGCGCCGGCUAGGGUGAAGGAUUUACUCCGUAAGCUCUGGCUGGUCGAAGAUACCAGGCCGCUGCGACUGUUUAUUAAAAACACAGCACUCUGCAAACACGAAAGUGGACGUAUAGGGUGUGACGCCUGCCCGGUGCCGGAAGGUUAAUUGAUGGGGUUAGCGCAAGCGAAGCUCUUGAUCGAAGCCCCGGUAAACGGCGGCCGUAACUAUAACGGUCCUAAGGUAGCGAAAUUCCUUGUCGGGUAAGUUCCGACCUGCACGAAUGGCGUAACGAUGGCGGCGCUGUCUCCACCCGAGACUCAGUGAAAUUGAAAUCGCUGUGAAGAUGCAGUGUAUCCGCGGCUAGACGGAAAGACCCCGUGAACCUUUACUGUAGCUUUGCACUGGACUUUGAGCCUGCUUGUGUAGGAUAGGUGGGAGGCUUUGAAGCGUGGACGCCAGUUCGCGUGGAGCCAUCCUUGAAAUACCACCCUGGCAUGCUUGAGGUUCUAACUCUGGUCCGUAAUCCGGAUCGAGGACAGUGUAUGGUGGGCAGUUUGACUGGGGCGGUCUCCUCCUAAAGAGUAACGGAGGAGUACGAAGGUGCGCUCAGACCGGUCGGAAAUCGGUCGCAGAGUAUAAAGGCAAAAGCGCGCUUGACUGCGAGACAGACACGUCGAGCAGGUACGAAAGUAGGUCUUAGUGAUCCGGUGGUUCUGUAUGGAAGGGCCAUCGCUCAACGGAUAAAAGGUACUCCGGGGAUAACAGGCUGAUACCGCCCAAGAGUUCAUAUCGACGGCGGUGUUUGGCACCUCGAUGUCGGCUCAUCACAUCCUGGGGCUGAAGCCGGUCCCAAGGGUAUGGCUGUUCGCCAUUUAAAGUGGUACGCGAGCUGGGUUUAGAACGUCGUGAGACAGUUCGGUCCCUAUCUGCCGUGGACGUUUGAGAUUUGAGAGGGGCUGCUCCUAGUACGAGAGGACCGGAGUGGACGAACCUCUGGUGUUCCGGUUGUCACGCCAGUGGCAUUGCCGGGUAGCUAUGUUCGGAAAAGAUAACCGCUGAAAGCAUCUAAGCGGGAAACUUGCCUCAAGAUGAGAUCUCACUGGGAACUUGAUU